UACGUAGGUGGCAAGCGUUGUUCGGAAUUAUUGGGCGUAAAGGGCUCGUAGGCGGUCUGUUGCGUCGGGAGUGAAAACUCAGGGCUUAACCCUGAGCCUGCUUCCGAUACGGGCAGACUAGAGGUAUGCAGGGGAGAACGGAAUUCCUGGUGUAGCGGUGAAAUGCGCAGAUAUCAGGAGGAACACCGGUGGCGAAGGCGGUUCUCUGGGCAUUACCUGACGCUGAGGAGCGAAAGUGUGGGGAGCGAUCCGG
RNAcentral lists this ribosomal RNA (253 nucleotides) under uncultured bacterium. Its description in RNAcentral is "partial 16S ribosomal RNA". It matches the Rfam family "Bacterial small subunit ribosomal RNA", at positions 524 to 776 of the family's 1533-position model. The record is from RNAcentral.